ACGGCUCAGUAACACGUGGACAACCUACCCUGAGGUCGGGGAUAAACCCGGGAAACUGGGUAUAAUACCCGAUAGAUCUAGAUUGCUGGAAUGCUUUUAGGUCUAAAGUUCCGACGCCUCAGGAUGGGUCUGCGGCCUAUCAGGGUAGUAGUGGGUGUAAAGUACCUACUAGCCCACGACGGGUACGGGUUGUGAGAGCAAGAGCCCGGAGAUGGAUUCUGAGACACGAAUCCAGGCCCUACGGGGUGCAGCAGGCGCGAAACCUUUACAAUGCUGGCAACAGCGAUAAGGGGACCUCGAGUGCUACGAUACAAUCGUGGCUGUCUAGUUGCCUAAAAAGCAAUUGAUAGCAAGGGCCGGGCAAGACCGGUGCCAGCCGCCGCGGUAACACCGGCGGCUCGAGUGGUAACCGCUAUUAUUGGGUCUAAAGGGUCUGUAGCCGGCUUAGUUAGUCUCUUGAGAAAUCUGGCCGCUCAACGGUCAGGCGUUCAGGGGAUACUGCUAAAGCUCGAGACCGGGAGAGGUGAGAGGUACUUCAGGGGUAGGGGUGAAAUCUUGUAAUCCUUGAAGGACCACCAGUGGCGAAGGCGUCUCACCAGAACGGAUCUGACGGCAAGGGACGAAAGCUAGGGGCACGGACCGGAUUAGAUACCCGGGUAGUCCUAGCCGUAAACGAUACUCGCUAGGUGUCGGCCACGGUGCGACCGUGGUCGGUGCCGUAGGGAAGCCGUGAAGCGAGCCACCUGGGAAGUACGGCCGCAAGGCUGAAACUUAAAGGAAAUUGGCGGGGGAGCAC
Molecule: ribosomal RNA, 796 nt
Filed under: uncultured archaeon
Lineage: Archaea
Description: bacterial SSU rRNA
Rfam family: Archaeal small subunit ribosomal RNA
Source: RNAcentral